GCAUGAUGAUAUGGUGAAAUUGCUGAAACUUUGUUGGGAAUGGCGCCAUAACCCAAAUUUGGUGAUGCAAUUUGGCAACGUGGAAGCUGAGAUUGAAUUCUUCGCUUCCCUCGUCAAAGCUGACGGUUGGCUGAAAGGAGAUCGACAACAAGAGUUGGAGGAAGUAGAAAUAUCGGACUGGACAACGACCGAU
Prunus dulcis (almond) is the source of this 193-nucleotide long non-coding RNA. RefSeq lists it as uncharacterized. The record is from RefSeq and is a predicted model, not a curated record. The transcript has 3 exons. NCBI's taxonomy places the organism in Eukaryota, Viridiplantae, Streptophyta, Magnoliopsida, Rosales, Rosaceae.